UCGCCUGUUUAUUCAAAAACAUGUCUAUUUGAGGAUAUAAAUAGUCUGACCUGCUCACUGAUAAAUAAUUAUUUAAGAGCCGCGGUAUUUUGACCGUGCAAAGGUAGCAUAAUCAUUAGGGGUUUAAUUGGAACCUAGUAUGAAGGGUUGGACAAAGGAAAGACUGUCUUUAUAAUAUAAAUUGAAAUUUACUUUUAAGUGAGAAGGCUUAAAUGAAUCAAAGGGACGAUAAGACCCUAUAAAGCUUUAUAAAUAAUUUAAAUUUAAUUGACUUAGGAUAUAAAAAUUAAUUUUAAUUAUUUUAUUUUGUUGGGGUGAUAUGAGUAUAAAUAUUGUUAACUGCUUAUAUAGGAUACUAGAAUAAUAGAAUUAUAAAUUUAAUGAUCCUUUAUAAAGAUUAAAAGAUUAAGUUACUUUAGGGAUAACAGCGUUAUUUCUUUUGAGAGUUCAUAUCGAAAAAGAAGAUUGCGACCUCGAUGUUGAAUUAAAAUAUCUAUAUAAUGCAGCCGUUAUAUAAGAGGGUCUGUUCGACCUUUAAAUUUUUACGUGAUCUGAGUUCAGACCGGA
RNAcentral lists this ribosomal RNA (567 nucleotides) under Liomera edwarsi. RNAcentral describes it as "partial 16S ribosomal RNA". It matches the Rfam family "Bacterial large subunit ribosomal RNA", at positions 1796 to 2620 of the family's 2925-position model. The record is from RNAcentral. Lineage: Eukaryota; Metazoa; Arthropoda; Malacostraca; Decapoda; Xanthidae.